This 2042-nucleotide ribosomal RNA is filed under the name seawater metagenome. Its description in RNAcentral is "bacterial LSU rRNA". It matches the Rfam family "Bacterial large subunit ribosomal RNA", at positions 195 to 2301 of the family's 2925-position model. The record is from RNAcentral.
GAGAUUUCUGCCUGUCUCGUGGGCUCGGAGAUGUGUAUAAGAGACAGGUAGUGUGAGCGAACUUAAUAAAGGUUAUUUUUGUUUAAAUCUAAUUUUUAUAAUCAAUUUAACGAAUUUAAGUUUUUGAAACUUAAUCUAAAGAAGGUAAAGAGUCCUGUAGUUAAAUUUUGAAAAUUAGAUUUUAAAGUAAAGCAAAUUGAAGAACUUGUUUGAAUAAAGGAAGACCAUUUUCUAAACCUAAAUAUAACAAUAUACCAAUAGUGAAAAGUACCGUGAGGGAACGAUGAAAAGAACCUUAAAAUUUAUAUGGAGUGAAAUAGAUCUUCAAAUUAAACACAUAAGAGCUAUUGAAGUAACUUUAUGUUAUACCAAUGUACCUUUUGUAUAAUGGGUCGACGAGUUAAUUUAUUUAAUAAAUUUAGAUCUAGUAAGAUUGUGAUGUGUAGCGAAAGCGAGUUUGAAAUAAAGCGUGAAUUAAAUAAAUUAUUACCCGAAACUGGAUGAUCUAAUCAUGUACAGGAGAUUUUUUAAAACUAAUUAAAGUAUAUAAUUUAUUAUAAUUUUAAAAGGUUGGAUGAAAAUAGACCGCACCCGUGUAUGUUGCAAAAUACUGGGAUGAUAUGUGAUUAGGGGUGAAAGGCUAAUCAAAUUCAGAAAUAGCUGGUUUUCUGCGAAAAUUAUUUAAGUAAUGCAUUAAAAUUUUAUAGUAUGGGGUAGAGCACUUGCUGGAUGAGGGGGAAUUCUUGGUAAUUCUACUGAUUCCAAUUAAACUUCGAAUACGUAUUUAUAAAUAAUUUUAAUAGGCAGAUUUUGAGUGCUAAGAUUCAAGAUCAAGAGGGAAAAAGCCCUGAUUUUUAGUUAAGGUUUUUAAAUAUAAUUCAUGGACUAAGUUUAAAUUUGUAAUGAGAACCAAGAGGUAGGCUUAGAAGCAGCCAUCCUUUAAAGAAAGCGUCAUUGCUCAAUGGAAUAGCAUAAUUUAGACAGAAAUGUAUAGAAACUGUAGUUAUAUACCGAAACUAAAAAAUAUUGUAAUAUUGGUAGCAGAACGAUUAAUAUUAAAUUGAAAGAAAAAUUGUUAAAUUUUUUAGCAAAUUUAAUUUGAGAAUGUUGACAUGAGUAACGAAUUAAUAAUGAAAAAAAAAGAAACUAUCAUUAUCAUCGCAAAUUCUAGGUUUUCAAUGUAUAAAGUUUGACUUCGUUGAGUUAUACGGUCUCUAAGUUUAAAAUUGAAAAAUUUUAACGAUGAGUUAUUUGUUAAUAUUCAAAUUUAUUAAUUAAGUGAAAAUAAUAUGUGUAAUAAAUAUUUAUUUUUAUGGUAAAGUAACUAUAAUAACAUAUUAUUCGAGAAAUAUUUAAUUAAAUGUAACCGUACUUAAACCGACACAGGUGAAUUGGUAGAGUAUACUAAGAUGAUUGGAAGAACAAUUUUGAAGGAACUCGGCAAAUUGAUUCCGUAACUUCGGGAGAAGGAAUACUCAUAUUAGAAAUUUAAUGUUAAAAAUAAUUAAAAUAUGAAUGUUUAGUGUAACAGAAUAGGGGUAGCGACUGUUUAAUAAAAACACAGGACUUUGCAAAAUAUUAUUAUGAUGUAUAAGGUCUGACGCCUGCCCAGUGAUGAGUAAUGAAAAAAAGAGGUGUUUAAUUAUGCUUUGAUUAUAAGUCUCAUUAAACGGCGGCUGUAACCCUGACGGUCCUAAGGUAGCGAAAUUCCUUGUCAAUUAAUUGUUGACCCGCAUGAAUGGCGUAACGACUUCCCCACUGUCUCCAAAAUUGAUCCAGUGAAAUUGCAUUUUACGUGAAGAUGCGUAAUAUUUAUAGCGGGACGGAAAGACCCUGUGCACCUUUACUAUAACUUUACAUUGAAAAAAAUAAGCUUAUAUAAAGAAUAGUUCUGAGUCUAUGAUCUAUUAAUUCCGGUUUUUAAGGGAGACGUCAGUGAGAUAUGAAUUAUAAGAAUAUUGAUUUCUAAUUUUUGAGAAAGACAAUGUAUGGUCUGUCUCUUAUACACAUCUGACGCUGCCGACGACUCCUUACGUGUAGAU